Molecule: ribosomal RNA, 2511 nt
Filed under: Shigella sonnei
Lineage: Bacteria; Pseudomonadati; Pseudomonadota; Gammaproteobacteria; Enterobacterales; Enterobacteriaceae
Description: partial 23S ribosomal RNA
Rfam family: Bacterial large subunit ribosomal RNA
Source: RNAcentral
GGGGGGCCCAUCCUCCAAGGCUAAAUACUCCUGACUGACCGAUAGUGAACCAGUACCGUGAGGGAAAGGCGAAAAGAACCCCGGCGAGGGGAGUGAAAAAGAACCUGAAACCGUGUACGUACAAGCAGUGGGAGCACGCUUAGGCGUGUGACUGCGUACCUUUUGUAUAAUGGGUCAGCGACUUAUAUUCUGUAGCAAGGUUAACCGAAUAGGGGAGCCGAAGGGAAACCGAGUCUUAACUGGGCGUUAAGUUGCAGGGUAUAGACCCGAAACCCGGUGAUCUAGCCAUGGGCAGGUUGAAGGUUGGGUAACACUAACUGGAGGACCGAACCGACUAAUGUUGAAAAAUUAGCGGAUGACUUGUGGCUGGGGGUGAAAGGCCAAUCAAACCGGGAGAUAGCUGGUUCUCCCCGAAAGCUAUUUAGGUAGCGCCUCGUGAAUUCAUCUCCGGGGGUAGAGCACUGUUUCGGCAAGGGGGUCAUCCCGACUUACCAACCCGAUGCAAACUGCGAAUACCGGAGAAUGUUAUCACGGGAGACACACGGCGGGUGCUAACGUCCGUCGUGAAGAGGGAAACAACCCAGACCGCCAGCUAAGGUCCCAAAGUCAUGGUUAAGUGGGAAACGAUGUGGGAAGGCCCAGACAGCCAGGAUGUUGGCUUAGAAGCAGCCAUCAUUUAAAGAAAGCGUAAUAGCUCACUGGUCGAGUCGGCCUGCGCGGAAGAUGUAACGGGGCUAAACCAUGCACCGAAGCUGCGGCAGCGACGCUUAUGCGUUGUUGGGUAGGGGAGCGUUCUGUAAGCCUGCGAAGGUGUGCUGUGAGGCAUGCUGGAGGUAUCAGAAGUGCGAAUGCUGACAUAAGUAACGAUAAAGCGGGUGAAAAGCCCGCUCGCCGGAAGACCAAGGGUUCCUGUCCAACGUUAAUCGGGGCAGGGUGAGUCGACCCCUAAGGCGAGGCCGAAAGGCGUAGUCGAUGGGAAACAGGUUAAUAUUCCUGUACUUGGUGUUACUGCGAAGGGGGGACGGAGAAGGCUAUGUUGGCCGGGCGACGGUUGUCCCGGUUUAAGCGUGUAGGCUGGUUUUCCAGGCAAAUCCGGAAAAUCAAGGCUGAGGCGUGAUGACGAGGCACUACGGUGCUGAAGCAACAAAUGCCCUGCUUCCAGGAAAAGCCUCUAAGCAUCAGGUAACAUCAAAUCGUACCCCAAACCGACACAGGUGGUCAGGUAGAGAAUACCAAGGCGCUUGAGAGAACUCGGGUGAAGGAACUAGGCAAAAUGGUGCCGUAACUUCGGGAGAAGGCACGCUGAUAUGUAGGUGAAGUCCCUUGCGGAUGGAGCUGAAAUCAGUCGAAGAUACCAGCUGGCUGCAACUGUUUAUUAAAAACACAGCACUGUGCAAACACGAAAGUGGACGUAUACGGUGUGACGCCUGCCCGGUGCCGGAAGGUUAAUUGAUGGGGUCAGCGCAAGCGAAGCUCUUGAUCGAAGCCCCGGUAAACGGCGGCCGUAACUAUAACGGUCCUAAGGUAGCGAAAUUCCUUGUCGGGUAAGUUCCGACCUGCACGAAUGGCGUAAUGAUGGCCAGGCUGUCUCCACCCGAGACUCAGUGAAAUUGAACUCGCUGUGAAGAUGCAGUGUACCCGCGGCAAGACGGAAAGACCCCGUGAACCUUUACUAUAGCUUGACACUGAACAUUGAGCCUUGAUGUGUAGGAUAGGUGGGAGGCUUUGAAGUGUGGACGCCAGUCUGCAUGGAGCCGGCCUUGAAAUACCACCCUUUAAUGUUUGAUGUUCUAACGUGGACCCGUGAUCCGGGUUGCGGACAGUGUCUGGUGGGUAGUUUGACUGGGGCGGUCUCCUCCUAAAGAGUAACGGAGGAGCACGAAGGUUGGCUAAUCCUGGUCGGACAUCAGGAGGUUAGUGCAAUGGCAUAAGCCAGCUUGACUGCGAGCGUGACGGCGCGAGCAGGUGCGAAAGCAGGUCAUAGUGAUCCGGUGGUUCUGAAUGGAAGGGCCAUCGCUCAACGGAUAAAAGGUACUCCGGGGAUAACAGGCUGAUACCGCCCAAGAGUUCAUAUCGACGGCGGUGUUUGGCACCUCGAUGUCGGCUCAUCACAUCCUGGGGCUGAAGUAGGUCCCAAGGGUAUGGCUGUUCGCCAUUUAAAGUGGUACGCGAGCUGGGUUUAGAACGUCGUGAGACAGUUCGGUCCCUAUCUGCCGUGGGCGCUGGAGAACUGAGGGGGGCUGCUCCUAGUACGAGAGGACCGGAGUGGACGCAUCACUGGUGUUCGGGUUGUCAUGCCAAUGGCACUGCCCGGUAGCUAAAUGCGGAAGAGAUAAGUGCUGAAAGCAUCUAAGCACGAAACUUGCCCCGAGAUGAGUUCUCCCUGACCCUUUAAGGGUCCUGAAGGAACGUUGAAGACGACGACGUUGAUAGGCCGGGUGUGUAAGCGCAGCGAUGCGUUGAGCUAACCGGUACUAAUGAACCGUGAGGCUUAACCUUACAACGCCGAAG